This 1240-nucleotide ribosomal RNA is filed under the name metagenome. RNAcentral describes it as "bacterial LSU rRNA". It matches the Rfam family "Bacterial large subunit ribosomal RNA", at positions 1564 to 2814 of the family's 2925-position model. The record is from RNAcentral.
CGAAUACGAGAUGCUACGGCGUCGAAGCAGCCUAUGUCAUACUUCCAAGAAAAGCUUGCACUGUCAUAAACAAAUAAUGCCUGUACCAUAACCGACACAGGUGGGUAGGUAGAGUAUACUAAGGGGCGCGAGAUAACUCUCUCUAAGGAACUCGGCAAAAUGACUCCGUAACUUCGGGAGAAGGAGUGCCUUAUUUAUAAGGUUGCAAUAACAAGAUCCAAGCAACUGUUUACCAAAAACACAGGUCUCCGCUAAGUCGUAAGACGAUGUAUGGGGGCUGACGCCAGCCCAGUGCCAGAAGGUUAAAGAAGUUGGUUAGCAUCCGCGAAGCUGAUAACUGAAGCCCUGGUGAACGGCGGCCGUAACAAUAACGGUCCUAAGGUAGCGAAAUUCCUUGUCGGGUAAGUUCCGACCCGCACGAAAGGCGUAAUGAUUUGGAUACUGUCUCGGAGAGGGGCUCGGUGAAAUAGACUUGUCUGUGAAGAUGCGGACUACCUGCACCAGGACAGAAAGACCCCAUGAAGCUUUACUGUAACCUGAAAUUGAAAUUGGACUUUACUUGCGCAGUAUAGGUGGGAGGCGUUGAGAAUAUUCUUGCGGGAUUAUUGGAGCCAUCAGUGAGAUACCACUCUUGUAAUGUUAGAUUUCUAACUUUGUAUCAUUAUCUGGUCAAAGAACAGUUUCAGGCGGGCAGUUUGACUGGGGCGGUCGCCUCCUAAACGGUAACGGAGGCGCACAAAGGUUUCCUCUGAACGGGUAGAAAUCGUAUCUAGAGUGUAAAGGCAUAAGGAAGCUUGACUGUGAGACCUACAAGUCGAGCAGGGACGAAAGUCGGUCUUAGUGAUCUGACGGUGCUGAGUGGAAAGGCCGUCACUCAACGGAUAAAAGUUACUCUAAGGAUAACAGGCUGAUCUCCCCCAAGAGUUCACAUCGACGGGGAGGUUUGGCACCUCGAUGUCGGCUCAUCGCAUCCUGGGGCGGUAGUACGUCCCAAGGGUUGGGCUGUUCGCCCAUGAAAGCGGUACGCGAGCUGGGUUCAGAACGUCGUGAGACAGUUCGGUCCAUAUCCGGUGUAGGCGUUAGAAUAUUGAGAGGAGCCUUCUUUAGUACGAGAGGACCGAGAAGGACAUACCUCUGGUGUACCAGUUAUCGUGCCAACGGUAAACGCUGGUAGCUAUGUGUGGAGUGGAUAACCGCUGAAAGCAUCUAAGUGGGAAGCCCACCUCAAGAUAAGUAUUCU